GGCUGAAGACGGACCGGAAGUGGGUCCGCCGAGUUUUCGGCUCGCGGCGCAUAGGGAAACGGUGGCUCUCUCUGCCGCGGUCCUUGGGUGCGGCUCCAGCCCGGCGCCGACGGGUCCCGAGACGGCGGGCGGCGGCGUCCCUGAGCCGGACGCUCAUUGUGAAGAGGAGGGGGAGCUCUGCAGAUGAAGAGACUGCUUGAGGACAGAGGCCUACUUUUGUACACAUGGUGUCGUUACUUUCCAAUAAUUGGAUCAGAAGAUGAAUCCAACUCAUCCUUUCAGUGGGCAGCAGCCUAGUGUUUUCCCAACAUCUCCCAGUAGUUCCAUAGGGACAUUUCAAGCCAAGCCAGCAUUUCAGUUUGGUCAGCCCUCUUUUUUUGGACAAAACAAUGCGUUAUCUGGGAAAAGCUCAGGAUUUUCACAGGUGUCCAGCUUUGCCGCAUCUUUUGGACAAAGUCAUUCUUCUUCAGCGCAGACAUUAGGAGUCUCCCAAACCUCAAAUGUUGGUCCCUUUUCUGGUCUGGAACACACUCCGGCCUUUGUAGCUACCUCUGGGCCUACAAGUUCAUGUGUGCCUGGAAACCCAGGGUUUAGUUUUAAAUCACCCAACCUUGGGACAUUCCCAAGUACUUCUACUUUUGGACCAGAAACUGGAGAAAUGGCAAGCUCUGGUUUUGGGAAAACAGAGUUUAGCUUUAAACCUCUGGAAAAUUCAGUGUUUAGGCCAAUAUCAGGCACUGAAUCUGAGCCAGAGAAAACUCAGAGCCAAAUUACUUCUGGAUUUUUUACAUUUUCCCACCCAGUCAGUAGUGGACCUGGGGGACUGGCCCCAUUUUCAUUUCCUCAGAUGACAAGUACUUCGGCCACCAAUUCAAAUUUUACCUUUUCAAAGCCAGGUAAUAAUAAUUUAUCAUCUGCCUUUACCCCUGCUUUGUCCAAUCAAAGUGUAGAGGAAGAGAAGAGAGGCCCUAAAUCACUAUUGGGAAGUUGUAGUAGCAGCUUCGCUAGCUUCCCCUUAUCUGCAGGGUCUUUGGGUGAACCCUUCCCAGGUAGCAAAACAGGUGUCAGACAGGGGUGUGAAGAAGCUGUUUCCCAAAUGGAACCGCUUCCCAGCCUCAUCAAAGGGCUGAAAAGGAAGGAGGACCAGGAUCGGUCCCCAAGGAGACACGGUCAUGAUGCAGCAGAAGAUCUGGACCCUCUGUCGAGGGGCGAUCAUCCUCCAGACAAACGGCCUGUCCGCUUGAAUCGACCCCGGGGGGGCACUUUGUUUGGCCGGACGAUACAGGAUGUCUUCAAAAGCAAUAAAGAAGCCAGUCGACUGGGCAACAAGGAAUCUAAAAAGGACGUCGGCUGUGCCGAGUCUGGGGAAAACGACCACGUGGCCAUCCCAGGAGGCAGUCAGUCUGUCCUGGUACCUUCCCGGCUUCCAGGUGUGAAUAAAGAGGAAGAAGCUGAAAGUAGAGAUAAAAAGGAAGAUUCUCUAAGAGGGACUCCUGGCCGUCAGAGUAAGAGAAGUGAGAGCACAGAGGGUUUGGGGGGCUUGUCUCCCACUGAACUCACAGCAAUUCAGUGCAAGAACAUCCCUGACUAUCUCAAUGACAGGACCAGCCUGGAGAAACACUUUGGCAAAAUUGCGAAAGUGCAGCGCAUCUACACCAGGCGCAACAAAAAGCUUGCCGUGGUGUAUUUUUUUGAUCAUGCCUCCGCAGCCCUGGCCCGGAAGAAGGGGAAGGGUCUGCACAAAGACAUGACCAUCUUCUGGCACAAGAAAAAAAUAAGUCCCAACAAGAAACCCUUUUCCCUCAAGGAGAAGAAGCCGGGGGAUGGCGAAGCUGGCCAGGGCGCCGAGGAGCCCCCCUUUCAGCACUCCCCCCUCGGCAAGCCCGUGGGGAGGGCUGUGGCCGGCAGCCUCCUGAGUAAAAGCUCUCCUGCGAAGAAGCCCAGUCUCCUGAAGGCCCAUCAGUUCGAGGGAGACCCUUUCGACUCGGGCUCCGAGGGCUCCGAGGGCUCCGAGGGUCUCGGGCCUUGUGUGCUGUCCCUCGGCGCCCUGAUGGGGACCGUGGCGGAGACGUCUGAGGACAAGUACCGCCUGCUGGACCAGAGGGACAGAGUCAUGCGACAAGCUCGGGUGAAAAGAACCGACCUGGACAAAGCAAGGACCUUCGUCGGGACGUGCCCGGAUAUGUGUCCCGAGAAGGAGCGGUACAUGCGGGAGACGCGGAGCCAGCUGAGCAUCUUUGAAGUGGUCCCGGGGACCGACCAGGUGGACCACGCGGCGGCCGUGAAGGAGUACAGCCGCUCCUCAGCCGACCAGGAGGAGCCCCUGCCGCACGAGCUGCGGCCCUCCGCAGUGCUCAGCAGGACCAUGGACUACCUGGUGACCCAGAUCAUGGACCAGAAGGAGGGCAGCCUGAGGGACUGGUACGACUUCUUGUGGAACCGCACGCGGGGCAUACGGAAGGACAUCACGCAGCAGCACCUGUGUGACCCGGUGACCGUGUCGCUGAUCGAGAAGUGCACGCGCUUUCACAUCCACUGUGCUCACUUCAUGUGCGAGGAGCCCAUGUCCUCCUUCGACGCCAACAUCAACAGCGAGAACAUGACCAGGUGCCUCCAGAGUCUGAAGGAGAUGUACCAGGACCUGCGGGUCAAGGGUGUGUUCUGCGCCGGCGAGGCCGAGUUCCAGGGCUACAACGUCCUGCUCCAUCUCAACAAGGGCGACAUCCUAAGAGAAGUGCAGCAGUUCCACCCUGCCGUUCGAAACUCUUCGGAGGUGAAGUUUGCUGUUCAGGCUUUUGCUGCAUUGAACAGUAAUAAUUUUGUGCGGUUUUUCAAGCUGGUCCAGUCAGCUUCUUACCUGAACGCUUGUCUCUUACACCGUUACUUUAAUCAGAUCCGCAGGGAUGCGCUCCGUGCGCUCAACGUGGCGUACACCGUGAGCCCGCAGCGGUCCACCGUCUUCCCCCUGGACAGCGUGGUGCGCAUGCUGCUCUUCCAGGACUGCGAGGAGGCCACCGACGUCCUCAGCUGCCAUGGCCUCACUGCUUCGGACGGCUGUGUGGAGCUGAACCGGUCCUCGUUCCUGGAGCCAGAGGGCUCCCCCAAGGCCCGGAAGUCAGUGUUUAUCACCAGGAAGCUGACCGUGUCGGUCGGGGAGGUUGUGAAUGGGGGGCCGUUGCCGCCCGUCCCUCGUCACACCCCCGUGUGCAGCUUCAACUCCCAGAACAAGUACGUCGGGGACAGCCUGGCGGCAGAGCUGCCCGCAGGCACGCAGAGACCCGGCGUGGACGCAGCGGGUGCAGCGAGAGGCGAGCAGAGCGCCGGCGCAGAGACCGACCCGCCCCUCGAGGCCCCGCCCAUCGCGGCCCCGCCCCUCGAGGCCCCGCCCCCGCAGCCUCCCGUCCCCGCGGGCGCCGCUGCGGCCUCGCUGCCCCAGCUCCAGGCUCUGACCCCCAGCGCGGUGCCCAGCCUGCUCCCGCCGCCCGUGCCGCCGGAGCUCCUGCCCCCGAAGCCGGCGCCUGUGUACUCGGACGCGGACCUGGCCCAGGUCGUGGACGAGCUCAUCCAGGAGGUGCUUCAGAGCGACUGCGAGGAGGUGGGCGCCGCCGGGGCCGCCUUCGCAGCCACAGCCCUGGGGGUUUCCCGUGCUGCUGUGGAGGAGCUGGUAGCAGCCACGACGACGGGCAUUCUGAGGCGCAUCGCGGCCGAAGAAGUGACCGAGGAGCGGGCGCGGAGGGAGGAGGCACGGCGGCGGACCGAGGAGGAGCGGCUGAAACAAGAGAGGGAACUGGUGCUGACGCAGCUGAGCCAGGGCCUGGCGGCCGAGCUGACGGAGCUCGUGGUGACAGAAUGCGUGCGGGACACCUGCUCCCGGGAGUUGCAGAGUGCGGUGGAGACAGACCAGAGGGUCCGCCUGACCCGUUGCUGUGAGGACGUCUGUGCCCACCUGGUGGACCUGUUUCUUGGGGAGGAAAUUUUCCAGACUGCGAAAGAGACCCUCCAGGAGCUUCAGCGCUUUUGCAAGUACCUCCAGCGGUGGAGGGAAGCUGUAGCAGCGCGGAAGAAACUCCGGCGCCAGAUGCGGGCUUUCCCUGCGGCCCCCUGCUGUGUGGACGUGACCGACCGGCUGAGGGCGCUGGCGCCCAGCGCAGAGUGCCCCAUUGCUGCGGAGAACCUGGCCAAGGGCCUCCUGGACCUGGGCCAUGCCGGGAGAGUGGGUAUCUCCUGCACCAGGUUGCGGCGGCUCAGGAACAGGACCGCGCACCAGAUGAAGGUCCAGCACUUCCACCAGCAGCUGCUGAGUGACGCAGCAUGGGCGCCCUUGGACCUGCCGUCCCUUGUGGCCGAGGACCUCCCUGGGAGGCGGGAGCGCGUGUUUUGGAAGCUGGUACUGGUGUUGCCCGAUGGAGAAGAGCGGUCCCCAGGGAGUCCCGGCAGAAUUCUAGCAAAUUGGUUAAAAGUCAAGUUCAUGGGAGACGAUGCCUCAGCGGAUGAGGUUGAUGGGAUUCAGACUCUCGCGCUGUUUAACACGCUCAGCAGCAAAGGGGAUCAGACAGUUUCUAUCAGUGUGUGCGUAAAGGUGGCUCACGGUGCUCUUAGCGACGGUGCCCUCGAUGCCGCAGAGACACAGAAGGAGCUCCUGGGAGCCAGUGGGCUCAUGCUGCUGCUUCCCCCCAAAGUGAGGAGCGAGGACGCAGUGGAGGAGGACGUGUACUGGUUGGCGGCGCUGCUGCAGAUUAAGCAGCUCCUGCAGGCCAAGCCCUUCCGGCCCGCGCUUCCGCUGGUGGUUCUGGUGCCCAGUCCAGGCGGGGACGCUGAGGAGAAGGAAGUGGAAGACGGUCUGAUGCUGCAGGAUUUGGUCUCCGCCAAGCUGAUCUCAGACUACACUGUUGUUGAGAUCCCCGACUCCGUUAAUGACUUGCAAGGCACCACCAAGGUUGCACAGGCUGUGCGGUGGCUGGUCUCCCGCUGCCCCCGUGCCCUUGACCUUUGCUCCCAGACCCUCAUUCAGUACGUGGAGGACGGGGUUAGCCGGGAGUUCAGCAGCCGGUUUUUCCAUGACAGAAGCGAGAGGCGGCGGGGUGGCCUGGCCUCGCAGGAGCCUAGCGCUGUCAUUGAGCUGUUCAACAGCGUGCUGCACUUCCUGGCAUCCGUGGUGUCCUCUGAGCAGCUCUGUGACCUGUCCUGGCCUGUCACCGAGUUUGCCGAGGCAGGGGGCAGCCGACUGCUUCCUCACCUUCACUGGAACGCCCCGGAGCACCUGGCCUGGCUGAAGCAGGCUAUCCUCGGCUUCCAGCUUCCGCAGAUGGACCUCCCGCCUCCGGAGGCGCCCUGGCUCCCGGUGUGCUCCAUGGUCGUCCAGUACGCCUCCCAGAUCCCCAGCUCUCGCCACACGCGGCCCGUUCUGCAGUCCCAGGUGGAGAGCCUGCUCCGCAGCACGUACCGCAGGUGGAAGAGCAGGAGCCUCUCCCCGGGCCAGGGCUCGGGGCCCUCCGUUGCCGAGAUCCCGUGGGACGAUGUCAUCGCCUUGUGCAUCAACCACAAGCUGAGGGACUGGAUACCCCCCAGGCUUCCCGUCACGUCAGAGGCGCUGAGUGAAGAUGGCCAGAUAUGUGUGUAUUUUUUUAAAAAUCAUUUGAAAAAAUAUGACAUUCCUUUGUCGUGGGAACAAGCCAGAAUGCAGACGCAGAAGGAGCUACAGUUGAGUCAGGGCCGUUUGGGGAUAAGGUCUCUGCAUCCUUCUGCAAACGAGCUUCCCACUGCGGUACUUCACGUGCACGGCAGAGGGAGGAGGAGUGCGGAGCGCGGCCGAGAGGGACGGCUUCCCAGCUCGGAGGAUCUGACGCGCGGAGCCUCUGCCCAGGAGCUCCUGGUCCAGUGUCUGUCUAGCAGGCUGCUGCUGGAGAAAGAGGAGAGCACGAGUGCUGUGUCCCUGGUACCCAGGAUGGCGCCUAGCGUUUAGUGGGGACUGGAAAAAUAUAUGUUGGAAGAAUGAAUGAAUGUGUCAUGAUUUCUAAAAGUAGAUUUUUCUAGGUUUGAAGAUCAGCUUCAGCAGUGGGUGUCGGAAGACUCGGGAGCAUUUGCACGGUCAGCUUCCCUUCCCCUCUGUCUUCCUCAGACUCUGGUGUCUCUGCCUCCGACUCUCCCUGGGAUAAAGACGUCUACGCCUGGUAGCCCUCAGCGUGAAAGGACAGGGGAGCAACUGCAUGUGUCAGAGGCAAGAGGCACAUCUCUGACCGAACAGCUGAAGCACCUAGAGAGGCUGAUCCGGAGCUCAAGGGAAGAGGAGGUCGCCUCUGAGCUUCAGCUCUCUGCGCUGCUGGACAUGGUGGACAUUUGAGCAGCUGGACCUGAGAGAGGGAGGGUCUCCCUGGAAGAUUUCCUUUUACUCAAAAUAAUGUUAUUUUCAGAUGCUUGAUGCAUGUUGGAAAUUGAUUAUUAAUCAUGCAAGUAAACCACUGGAAUAUCUAAUGAGGUCUUCCUCAGUUUUCAGAAGGAAAGGCAAUUUCCUCCUGUGUAAUGUCUUUGACACUCUUACCUGUUUCCAUGAGCUCUCUGACUGUCCACUAACACACGCUCUUACAUUUCUGUGUGCACCAGUGGUCAUUUGAGGUCUUAGCAGAAGUUACAGUCCUUGACGUGCCCCAAAUCUUUAGAGCGGGGAUGACUAAGGAGCAGGGAAUCCUGCCCACCGGGCCCGCCCAGCUCACGCCUCCGAGAGCCAACAGGUGUACCGGGUCAACUGUAUCUGUACUUGGCUCUCUGCGGCACGGGCAUGUGCCCGGAUUGGAAGCAGGGGAAGAUAAGGGGGCUGGGGGGAGGAGGGAGCAAAAUUCCCGGGGAGGAAGGCAGGGUACAGCUGAGGAGAGUCUACCGGCCCGGGGGGAGGGGGAGCCUGGAGGCACCGGCUUGGCGGUCUUGCCUGGCGAGGGGAUCGACCAGACCACAGAGACCCUCGCUGCCUUCCCGUGAGUGCUGCGGGAAUCAGCUGUUGGAGGAUGGAGGAGGAGAUCUGGGCACAUUUUAUUUUAAAAAUUGCAUGUGGGGAACGUCAGCAAGACAAGGCCUGAAUCUGGAGAGGGCGUUGCCACAGCCGUCCAGUGAAGGGGAAGGGUCUGAUCUUGACCUGAGUCUGCGACAGCUGGUGUGGGAGAGGCAGCUGAGCCAUGUACAGAGAGAGAGGUGUUCAGAGACGUGGUGAUGCUGGGUCAUGUGUGCAAGUUGGCACUCAGGAUCUCCCUACUGUGUCCUACAUCCCCUAGAUUCUCUGAGAAGCCUCUUUCAUAUCUCAUUCUCUUCAAAUCUCCAUCAUUCCUAGAGAAAUGUUUUCACCGAGGGAAAAAAAGAAGUACUAGGAGCAGAACUUCCUCAUCCUUGUACCACCAAGUCUGCAGGCCCAACCCUACCUCCCCAGAACAAACACUGAUCAGCUUUUACAGGGAUUUCUCCAGUGAUUAACUUCAUGUUUAUCAAUAAAGACUUAGGAGCUCCCACUGUGGUAUAGUGGGUUAUGAAUCUGACUGCAGUGGCUUAGGUUGCUAUGGAGGUACAAGUUCAAUUCCUAGCUCAGCAAAGUGGGUUAAAGGAUCCAGCGUUGCUACAUCUGUGGCAUAGGUCACAGCCACGACUUGGAUUCAGUCCCUGGCCCAGGAAUUUCCAUAUGCCGUGGGUGUAGCUAUUUUAAAAAAAAAAGACUUAAGCAGUGCUAUUUUUAGAUCUACUGAUUUCCAGUGAUAGAAAAUGGGUUACCUCUCAUACCCUGCAAGGUGUGUCACCCACAGCGUGCAUACCACAUUUCCUCUCCCACUAGCCUCGCAAGCAGUUUAAGAUGUUAGCUGAAAUCUGCAUUCAGAGUUCAGUAUGACUAUAUUAAUACUGUUUGCUACUGGUUUAUUUUUUCAUUCUUUGUUAUUUUUUUCUUUUUACAGCUGCACCCGCAGCAUAUGGACGUUCCCAGGCCAGGGGGCAAAUUAGAGCUACAGCUCCAGGCCUAGGCCACAGCCAUGACAACACAGGAUUCAAGAUGCGCCUGUGACCUAUGCAAUAGCUUACGGCAACACUGGAUCCUUAACCCACUGAACAAGGCCAGGGAUUGAACCUGCAUCCUCACAAAGACAACAUCAGGUUCUUAACCUGCUGAGCCACAACGGGAACCCCCCUGGACUGAUUUAUGAUUACAUAUCCUUUAGGCACACCUCUCUGUUUUUCCUGGAGUCAAUUGCCUUGUUUUUCACUUGUUCGGUUUUCUGUGUUCCCUGCCCUGCUUAACCCAGACCUCUCCUCACCAAGUGUCAAGCUCCACUCAGUAUUGUCAUGUGCGUCAGGGGAUGUGCUGGGUUCAUUUUCUUUUGUUCAUGACCCUCUGGGAAACCAUCUUUGUGAUACAGCUUGGAUAUUUCGUGGAUUCCGAGUUACAUUAUUUUUUUCUGCCUUGGUUUGCUUUCUCAUUUUGAUGGAGCUCAUCUUUCAGCAGCCUUCUGAGCUUGCUUAUCUAACAUGUCUUUAUUUCUACCCUUAUAUUAGAUGCCUCAUUUGAAUGGAAAUAGAAUUUUAAAUUGGAACUCUUUCCCCUGUAUUUUUGUUCGUUUUCUGUUGCUGGAAGUUUUUAAGAUCAUCCCUAUCCCUGGUCGUCUCAAAUUUCUCAACAACCUGCCUGAUGUAUUGGUCCCCUCCCCUAGUCCCUAUUUAUUGUGCUGGGCAGACAGUAGCGCUUUUUUCCUGUAGUUAUUGCUGUGUAACCAACCAACCAACCAACCAACCAAAAAACCAACUAUAGCUUAAAUUUGGGAAGGGUAGGCUGGGCAGCUUUCUCUUGGGCAUUCUCAUGCAGCUUCAGACAGGUAUUAGCUGGGACUGUGGUUAUCUAAAGUCUUGACUAGACGGGAUGGAUGUCCAAGAUAGCUCACUUACAAAGUUGGCUGGUGAUGUAGCUAAAGGCUCAGCUGGGGCUUUCAACCUGAGUAUCUAUGUGUGUCUUCACUACGUGUCUUGGCUUCCUUACAGCAAGGUGGCCUCAGAUAGGACUUCUCACGUGGCGUCUCAGGGCUUUAGGUGCAGGUACUCUAGUGAGCAAAAUGCAAGCCCAGCUUUGGAAUCUGUGCAGGAUUACUUCCACUGCACUGAAUUGGUUUCACGCAUCUGGUUAUAGAUUCCAGGGAUGGGACAGAGGUCCUGUUUCUCAAUGGGGAUGAGUGCUAAGACCACAUUGUAGAAGAGCCUGUGAAAUGCGAGCUGUUGCAGGGGUCUUUGGAAAAUGUCUCCGUGCUUUUUAAUCUGGAAAAUUUUCCACAAUUCUGGGAAUUUUUGGAAACUAUUUAAUACAAUCUUCCCUCCACGAUUUCCCUUUGGAACUCCUAAUAUUCAGAUGUUUGACCGCCUAUAUUGAUGCUCCAAUUUUCAUUUCUCUUCAAUUUUUAUUAUCUUUAUCCUUUUAUGCUACUUUCCUAAAAUUUCUGUUUUAUCUCCAUUAUAGUGACUUUAAUGUUAUAGUGACUUUAAAACUGCUCCCAUAUUAUGAUUCUCUAUAUUGUACACCUAUAACUUACAUAAUAUUGUACCCCAACUAUAACUUCAAUAAAAAAGUUUUAAAAAAUGUUUAAA
RNA transcript from Sus scrofa (pig), 9600 nucleotides. It is a transcript of the gene named minichromosome maintenance complex component 3 associated protein, with no coding region annotated. The record is from RefSeq and is a predicted model, not a curated record. NCBI's taxonomy places the organism in Eukaryota, Metazoa, Chordata, Mammalia, Artiodactyla, Suidae.